UAUCAGAUUCCCAUAAGAAGACUAUACAGACUUCUAGGAAAGCUGUAGAGGAACCCCUUAAUGAAUAACUGAAGUGAAGUGACGGACUCUGAUUUGGAGAAUAGUAAGACGUGAAAGGAAUACACUUGUGUUUAUGCACCAUGGCCCUGAUUCACUGUUCUGGAGAAUAAAACAAGAAAAGUAACUGGUUUUUAUCUACAGGAGAAAGUAUAUCAUUGACCCUUAAAUGAUUGUUAUAAAUAAGUUUUUAUUCAAUGCAUUUGUAAUUUAGUUAAUAAAAGAAUUAUGAUCUGUGUUGUGUGCCCAAUUGAGAUCUAGUUUUUUGUUGUUAUUUUUAUUCGAUUAGGGGCAAAAGUAGAGUGGGCAACUUCCAAGAAUGAUGCCUUUCAGAUCUGAGAGCCUCUCAACUCUAGGUCAUCAGUCUAAAUUGGUCAAGGUGAGAAUUACCUGACACUAACCUGGUGGUUACCCUAAGAUAUCUAUGAAAAACAGUGGCUUCCAUCGAACCUUAGGAAACUCAGGUUCACAGCCGCUUUUGCAGUUGGGGUGGUAGCUGAAUGAUGUGUCUGCCACUUCUGGGUCAAAGGAAUAGCAAAUUAAGUACAGACGGGAAUUUGGUUGGGAACAUCUUGUAUGCUGCCUACAUGUAGUGUGAUGCUGGCGGAGAUCAUGGUCUUCAUUCUUGGGGGUUGCCAUUCACACAUUCUAUCUUCAACAUACAGUGUAACAGAUCCUUUCCAGAUUUAGCGUCAUUUUAUUGAUGAAUUUGUUUUUCUUUUAUUCACACAACCCUUUGAACCCUGUCUCGUCCUCCUGUUAUUUGCUUCUGCUGUACAAGAUGUAGCACCUUUUCUCCUCUUUGAACAUGGUCCAGUGACACGGUAGCAUCAUUGCAGAAAGGAGCCAAGCUAGUUCUUAGAGAACUAUGUUCACAC
Molecule: non-coding RNA, 935 nt
Organism: Ceratotherium simum simum (southern white rhinoceros)
Lineage: Eukaryota; Metazoa; Chordata; Mammalia; Perissodactyla; Rhinocerotidae
Source: RefSeq, a predicted model, not a curated record